Long non-coding RNA from Mesocricetus auratus (golden hamster), 569 nucleotides. RefSeq lists it as uncharacterized. NCBI's taxonomy places the organism in Eukaryota, Metazoa, Chordata, Mammalia, Rodentia, Cricetidae. The transcript has 2 exons. The record is from RefSeq and is a predicted model, not a curated record.
AGCCAGGUCCAACAAGAUUCUGCUUGGAAAAGGGUCUGUGGUCAACGCUCACGGAGUAAAGACCAAACGUGUAAACAGGUUAACACUGUGACCAAGACUGAAGCGUUACAUAGACUCAUAAGCAGGUCACUCUGAAAGGAGCAGCCUCCUGUACCAUCUUCUCUAAACACCAUAAUAUCCCACCUCACCUCCAACCCAAAGCAAUGGACCCUGAUGACCUUGGACUAAGAGCUCUGAAACCAUGAGCCAGAAUUAACAUUUCCUCCUUUAAAUAUUUUCUCUUGGGUGUUUACCAAAGUGAUGUCAAUUUGACUAACACAGUUCAAGAUCCCUGAAGCACCAGAACAUGCUUACUAUUUUUUUGGAACUUCACACACAGCAACUGAGAGACCAGAUAACUGCCCCAAAGCACCAAAACCAGUGUGAUAUCCCAGAGCCAUGCUCUUAAGGCUCACCCCUACUGCCACACAUGCAUAGUUGCAAGUCUAUUCUCAAAAACGAAUAAAAGUAUCUUUCAAUGUUCUCUGUUUUAUGAAAACCUUCCAUAAAUACAGAGGUAUAACCCCAAA